UCUUAAUGCGGUCGCGCUCAGGAUUAAUCAUAAUUAUUAUUAUAUGUUGGCUUUUAACUAGUGCCUGUUGGAUCCUAUGCGGCUUCCAUUUCUUUCUCCGCACAUGUAUUGAAGAUACUUGUUUAGAGCUUGACCAGUACAUGAGGGAUCCAAGCAGCAGCAUUCUUAACUCAAUACUACCUUGUCCCAA
Molecule: long non-coding RNA, 190 nt
Organism: Ananas comosus (pineapple)
Lineage: Eukaryota; Viridiplantae; Streptophyta; Magnoliopsida; Poales; Bromeliaceae
Exons: 3
Source: RefSeq, a predicted model, not a curated record